Molecule: long non-coding RNA, 436 nt
Organism: Vanessa atalanta (red admiral)
Lineage: Eukaryota; Metazoa; Arthropoda; Insecta; Lepidoptera; Nymphalidae
Exons: 3
Source: RefSeq, a predicted model, not a curated record
ACGCCUAGCCCGUUAUAUUCCACCCAGUAUUCGACGCUAAAUAAUCGUCUCUCACGUCUUCACCGAGAAAAUCAGUGUCAAUCUCUCAAAUAUCUGGAUAAAAGGAAAGAAGUCUACGCUCUAAUCAAAGAAUAAUAAUCUACGCAGCGCAAAGAGGAUAAACUACGUAAAAGCACAGCAGGACCACGAAUUCAUCGUAGCACACCUACCAGAGCGGCGCAGCGGGACAACGAGGACAUCGCAGCAGGUCUACGAUAGCAGUGCAGCAGGAUUACUAGGACAUCGCAGCAGGGCUACGGGAGCAGGGAGGCAGCGCUACGAGGACAUCGCAGCAGAGCUACGCAACGACAACGAGCCAGUGAUCCCAGCGCUGCGCGUGGUCAGCGGCAGCGUAUUCAUCCCCUCUCAAAAUACCUUCCAAAAAUUUAUUUUCUAU